GACGGCUGCUCCCCUCCUUUCCUCCCGCCACAAGCGCUCGCUGUGGUUCUGGCAGCGAAGUGCGAGACUGGGCUCGCCAGGCGGAAGUGGUUGGAGACUGCGUGUUUUCCUAGAAAGUCCUCGACCUUCGUCGGGGAGAGGAGGGGAGUGAUAAAUUGGAAGGCGGACAAGCGACAAGUGCGGUACUGGAAAGACCCAAACAUACUUGGUUGUGACCUCAGGACUCAAUAAAAUAAACAGCUGGAAAUAAGCAGACUAGUGUAAGAGUGAAUUGAAAAGAAAACCCAAGGUCACAUCUCCCAAGAAGCAGUAAUGUUCCAGCAAUAAGAAAAGGACAGUUUUUUGUCUUUUGCAUGGUGAGCCUUAUAUGAAUUACAUCAAUUUUGUCACCAAUAUCCAUCAUCAGAACAUUUUGCCUACUCACUGUGAAGACAAUAAGGAUGAAGACCUUUAUGACAAUCCACUUCCACUUAAUGAAUAAUGAGGAAACUGGGGCACAGAGAAAUUAAGUGACUUGUCCAGGAGGACAGGGCCAAUAACCGGUGGAACCAUAAGAAAAAAAUCCAGUAACAGCUUUGAAAAAGGAAGAUAACAAUGACCUGUGUGUACAGCGUCCAAGGGAACCAUUAGCAGUGGAGCUCCCCAGGCUCCUGGGACGACCAAGCACAUGGUCCAACCAACCAUCUUCUGACAAGGUAGGGGUGGGCAGUGGAAGGCAAAAAGAAUGGCUGCACUUGUGUUUCUGAAGGUCAGACCAAGAAAC
Molecule: long non-coding RNA, 763 nt
Filed under: Homo sapiens (human)
Lineage: Eukaryota; Metazoa; Chordata; Mammalia; Primates; Hominidae
Description: non-protein coding RORA-AS1:4
Source: RNAcentral